RNAcentral lists this ribosomal RNA (4794 nucleotides) under Triticum aestivum (bread wheat). RNAcentral describes it as "partial small subunit ribosomal RNA". The record is from RNAcentral. Lineage: Eukaryota; Viridiplantae; Streptophyta; Magnoliopsida; Poales; Poaceae.
AUGGAGGCAACGGCGCUGAGCGUCGGCAAGUCAGUGCUAAAUGGAGCUCUUAGCUACGCCAAAUCGGCGGUGGCGGAGGAGUUGGCUCUGCAGCUGGGCGUGGGGCAUGACCAGGCCUUCAUCACCGGGGAGUUGGAGAUGAUGCAGUCGUUUCUCAUGUCGGCGCACGAUGAGGGAGACGGCAAUAACAAGGUGGUGAAGACCUGGGUGAAGCAGGUCCGCGACGUGGCCUACGUCGUUGAGGACUGUCUCCAGGAUUUCGCUGUCCGUGUCAACAGGAAACCAUGGUGGGGCAGGCUGAUGCACCGGCACGAUGUGGCGAAGCAGAUGAAGGAACUGAGGGCCAAAGUGGAUGAUGUCAGCCAGAGGAACAUACGCUACCGGCUCAUCAAUAGCUCAUCAGCUGCUUCUUCUUCCUCCUCCAAGCAGCCAGCAACUGACAAGUCUGCAGCAGCGUCAACGUUUGGCAUCCAUGACGCCGCCGAGAAGCACAAACAAUCAAACAUGGAUCUUGCUCAGCUGCUCAUGGUCAACUGCCAGGACGAGACUAAUGACCUGGGGCUUGGGGUGAUCGCCGUGUGGAGGACAAGUGCUGAUCUCGGGCAGACAUCUAUCAUCAGGGCGGUCUAUGAGAAUCCAGAUGUCACAGCCAAAUUCCCAUACCGAGCUUGGGUCAGGCUGACACAUCCUUUUGAUCGAAAGGAAUUCGUCGAGAGCUUAGUAGAGCAGUUUCAUCAUAGUACAAUAACUGCUGUUAUGCUCGAAAUGGACCAGAAGACCCCGCAACAGUUGGCUCAGGAGUUUUAUGGGGGGCAAGAAUACAACGUAUCAAAGCUCAAGCAAUUGUCAGCUCAUCAGAAUAUCUAUGCUUUCCAUAACAUGUGGGUUCCUUGUGUGCAGCGCUCUGAACAUGAAACAUCAGAUUUCACCGGGACGAGUUCAUGCUCAAAAGGAGACACUACCAAUAGUACUGAUAACUCAACAGUGCCUAGCUGUGAGAUAAUUGAGGAUCCAUCUACAGACGGUGAUGAUGGAAAGAGUCUCACUUGGAACAACACGAUGAAAUCUCAUGUUGUUGGGAGAGCUCAAGAAAAAAAAGAUAUUAUUGAACUAUUGUCUCAUCAAGGUACCAAAAAGUUCCAGGUGAUUUCCAUUUGGGGAAUGGGUGGCCUUGGGAAAACCACUCUAGUGGAAGAUAUCUAUCAAAGCAAAGAACUCAAUGACAAGUUUGAGAAGCGUGCUUGUGUGACACUUUUGCGUCCUUUCAGUCUUAUAGAGCUUCUUAGGAGCUUAUUCGUGCAACUUGACAUAGAAACUUCUGAAAAGAAGGCUGCUCUGGGUUUACCUCCAGGCAAAAAGGAGAUAUUACCAACUAUGACAGUUGAUGACCUAAUCGAUGAGCUAGCAAUACUGGUAGACAAAAAAAGAUGUCUUAUUGUUCUUGAUGAUGUAUCAUCUACUGCAGAGUGGGAUCAGCUAAUACGACCAGUUAUUUUCCAUAAGAUAGAAAAUAGAAGCCGAAUCAUAGUCACCACAAGAAAGGAGAGUAUUGCUCUACAUUGUUCAGAGAACAAUCAAGGAAAUGUAUACAGGCUCAAAGAUCUAGCGUACGAGUAUGCACGUGAGCUCUUCACUGAAAAGCAUCAGAUUGAAAAGGCUAAAACACACAUGAACAACAAAGACCUUCGAAAUUGCGGUGAUGUAGGGUAUAAGAAAAGACUUCUGUUGGGAUUUUCCAUGGAUGGAUCACAACAAAACACGAUGAACACGCGCACACUGAAAAAUUUGCAGCCAAGGGCCCUUGUCGUGUCCUUGUUUUCUUUAUUUCUUCUUUCUCACGAUUUGGAUAAGCAAUAUCCACAGCUAGUUGAACCAACCAAAUUGAUCCUGAAGAAGUGUGGCCAACUACCCCUUGCAAUAGUCACCGUAGGUGGCUUUUUGGCAAACCAACCAAAAACUUCUCUCCAAUGGAGGAAAUUUUAUGAUCAUAUCAGUGCCGAGAUGGAGAUGAAUCCAGAGCUUGCAACCAUAAGAACCGUCCUUAUGAAAAGCUAUGAUGACCGUAAGAUUGAACGAAGACGCUUGGUGCUUCGGUGGACAGCAGAGGGUUACUCAAGGGAGGUGCGUGAUAAGUCAGCAGAGGAAGUAUCGGAUAGCUACUUCAUGGAACUUAUAGGCAGGAGCAUGAUACUGCCAUCUCUAAAAUCAUUUCAUAGUAUAAAAGGAAUUGAUUCCUGCCAGGUCCAUGAUCUCAUUCGUGAAAUAAGUAUCUCAAAGUCUGUGGAAGAAAACCUUGUUCUGAGACUAGAGAAAGGUUGUAAGUUGAAUAGCCAGCAGGGCAAUGCACGCCAUCUUGCUAUAAAUGGCAAUUGGGAAGGAGACCAAAGUGAAUUCGAGAGAAUGGUGGACAUGCCUCGUGUACGGUCUGUAACAGUUUUUGGAAAGUGGAGGCCAUUUUUCAUGUCAGUGAAGAUGAGGAUGCUACGAGUUCUUGACUUGGAAGACACGAUGGGUCUUUUCGACCAUCACCUUAAGCAUAUUCGGAAGCUUCUUCACUUAAGAUACUUAUCUCUGAGAGGAUGUGAAGAUAUUUAUCACUUGCCAAAUUCAAUUGGUAACCUGAUGCAACUCCAAACACUGGAUAUCAGAGGCACCUCCAUAUUGAUACUGCCGAGAAGCAUCAUCAAGCUCCGGAAGCUGCAAUAUCUUCGUGGCGGUAACAAUAUUACGAAUGCUGGACUGAUGAUAAGGUAUGCAAUGCAUCCUUAUGUGGAGGCAUGCAUUUGUUUUCCUAUUGCAUGUUGCAUAACUCUAGCAUGGGCACGGGCACGGGAAAUAGAUGACCACCGGUACCGGCGUGAUAUAUGCACACGCAUGUGCUGCACGGUAAUCCCUUCUUUGAUGAUGGGGAUGGACAAUGAUGGCAUGAUGGUGCCAAGAGGGAUUGGGAGAAUGAACUCCCUGCAUACCUUACAGGGUGUGGACCUCCUCGCGUUCGGAGGCAUUGCUGUUCUACGGAACAUUAAAGGACUCACCAGGCUGCGUAAGUUAGGAGUGGUCGGCCUAAAAGAGAAGGAUGCUUCAGAGUUCUGUUCUGUCGUUUCUAGUCUGAACCUCCUAGAAUCAUUGUCAGUGGGUGGGUGUUUGCGUCUGCAUGGCAAUACCUUGUAUCAUAGCAACCUGCAUCUGGAUGGUAUUUCCUUGCAUCCGAAUAACCUCCAGAACCUCAAGCUGGACGGCAUCAUGCCCAAAUUGCCGGAAUGGGUCAAGAAUCUUGAAAACCUUGUAAGAUUGAAGAUCGAAUUCAGAACAUCCAGCCAAGUGGAGCAGGGUUGUGCUAUACGAGCCCUGGGGAGUCUACCAAACCUAGCCGUUUUGCGUCUUUGGGUGAUGUGGUUCAGAGGUGAAGAAUUACAUUUCGUGCCGGAGGCAUUCCCGAGCCUCAUUGUGUUGGAGCUUGUAAACACAGAGGAAAGCUUGAAACUGGUUGAGUUUGAACACGGAGCAAUGCCCAAACUCCAGCAGCUUCUCGUCGAGGAUUUCCGCGAAAAAUUAAACAACAUGAUUAUCUCGUUUGGUGUUAGUUUGGCAUCUGAGAAAGAAACGGGGGAGACAGCAGACCUCAGUCCACUCCACUCUGUUCGUCUUCUCCUCUUUCCAAUCCGUCCUCUCCUCUUCCCAAUCCGAUACAUGGUGGACGACCGGAGCGGCUCCGGCUCCAAUGGCGACGAGAACGACGUCGAAGCGGCCACUCUCCAGAUUGCUUUGCGCCGCUCCCUUCUAGAUCAGAACGAGCGACACGUUGUCCCCCUUCACCCGCCGUCGCAGUGCGGGCGACAUUGCCGGGCCAUCCCGUCCGACGCUAAGCAUGGGUGGGAGCACCGCUCGCUCCACCCCAAUCUAGGUGUGCUGUCCGGCCGCCAUCCCAUCCAUUCUACCUCCGAGGAGUGUUCACGGGCACUGUUGGGUGCUUGUGCCCUCGCCGGCGCUGGCCGGUCGAGGACGCCCGAGUCAGAGGUGCCGGCCGCAUGGCGCGAGCGGCAAUUUGUGAGGGAGGCCAUGGCUGCGGGCGACGCGUCGGCGAGGCGCCGGGCACUCACGCGCACGCCCUUUGAUCCCGGGGACGAGCUCACUGCGUCCAUCCUCCGGUGCUCCCUGACAACGGCGGAGAUGAAUGCGUGGCGGCUGCGGUGGAAGAACGACCAAGCGCUCUGGCUCGCUAUUAAGUUGUCGGAGAGCGAGGCGUCGGUGAAGGAGAGGAGGCUCGCUGAGGAGCAGGAACGCUUGCUGCGGAGGCUUGCCGUGGGUCACAUGGAGCUGUCCGAUGACUCCGACGAUGGCUCAAGCUCCGACAACGGCUCAAGCUCCGACAACGACGACGACAACCCUUCGAUGGUGACGCCUACACCGACGGCCAAAGCAACACCGCCGACCGCAAGGGGAAGUGGCCACGGCCCGGGCAACCAGGGGCCUAGCUAUGCCCCUGGGUGGCUCCAGAAGCAGUCUGAAGAAAUGCAUGGCUUGUCAUAUUGGUUCUUUGAAGAGUCAAAGAACUUGUUGUGGUUCUUGAAAGACGAUACAUUGAACUUCAGGUUUUCAAUGGGAGCCGAUCCACGAAGGCGAGGCAAACGAGGUGUGGGCCUAAGGACAAUGCGCCUGUUAUGCACAUUGAAUUCAUACAUUGGCCCAACACUAUGGCGAGUUAAGUUGCAUCCAUUUGGCACAUAUUGGGGCUCUAGUGUUGUCAUGAGCCAAUACAGUGUUAGCCUCAUUGUCUUCCUCGGUGGUGAUUGA